GGCGUUCGAUUAUGGCUCAGAUUGAACGCUGGCGGGAUGCUUUACACAUGCAAGUCGAACGGCAGCACGGACUUCGGUCUGGUGGCGAGUGGCGUAGAACGGGCAGUAAUGUAUCGAAACGCUCAGUGGGUGGGGAUAACUACGCGAAAGUUGAACAAUACCGCAUACUGGUUCUUCGGGGGAAAGCGGGGGAUCUUCGGAUUUCGCACUAUUAGAGCGGCCGAUAUCGGAUUAGCGAAGUUGCGGGGUAACGGCUCACCAAGGCGACGAUCCGUAGCUGGUUUGAGAGACGACCAGCCACACUGGGACUGAGACACGGCCCAGACUCCAUGGAGGCGGCGGGGAAUUUUGGGACAAUGGGGAAAUCCCUGAUCCAGCCAUCCCGCGUGGGCGAUGAAGGCUCGGGCUAAAGCACUUUUGCAGAAAGAAACGGCACGGGAUAAAUAAUGUGCAACUGACGGUAUAAUUCUAUAUGAAUAAGCACCGCCAACUACGUGCCAGCAGCCGCGGUAAUACGUAGGGUGCAAGCGUUAAUCGGAAUUACUGGGCGUAAAGCGUGCGCAGGCGGUUCGGAAAGAAAGAUGUGAAACUUCAGAGCUAACUUUGGAACUGCAUUUUUAACUACCGAGCUAGAGUGUGUCAGAGGGAGGUAAAAUUCCGCGUAGCAGUGAAAUGCGCAGAUAUGCGGAGGAACACCGAUGGCGAAGGCAGCCUCCUGGAUAACACUGACGCUCAUGCACGAAAGCGUGGAGCAAAACAGGAUUAGAUACUCCCUGGUAGUCCACGCCCUAAACGAUGUCAACUAGCUGUUGGGGGCCUUCGGCCUGGUAGCGCAGCUAACGCAGUUUGACCGCCUGGGGAGCACGGUCGCAAGAUUAAAACUCAAAGGAAUUGACGGGGACCCGCACAAGCGGUGAAAUUGAGGGAUUAAUUCGAUGCAACGCGAAAACUCACUUACCCUUGACAUGUCUGGAAUCCCGAAGAGAUUUGGAGUGCUCGCAAGAGUAAACCGAACACAGGUGCUGCACAUGUCGUCAGCUCGUUGUGAGAUGUUGGGUUAAGUCCUGCAACGAGCGCAACCUCGUCAUUAGUUAUUACGAAAGGCACUCUACCGAGACUGCCGGUGACAAACCGGAGGAAGGUGGGGAUGACGUCAAGUCCUCAUGGCCCUUAUGGGUAGGUCACAUCGCCACAGAAUGUCGACAGAGGGUCGCCAACCCGGCGAGGGGAGCCAAUCCCAGAAACCGAUCGUAGUCCGGACGCAGUCUUGCAACUCGACUGCGUGAAGUCGGAAAUCGCCAGGUAAUCGCGGAUCAGCAUGUCGCGGUGAAUACGUUCCCGGGUCUUGUACACACCGCCUGUCACACCAUGGAGUGGGUUUGCAAUUAGUUAGUUAGCCUAACCGUAAGGAGGGCGAUUACCACGGUAGGAUUCAUGACUGGGGUGAAGUUGUAACGGCAGUAG
RNAcentral lists this ribosomal RNA (1464 nucleotides) under uncultured Bordetella sp. RNAcentral's name for it is "partial 16S-23S ribosomal RNA intergenic spacer". It matches the Rfam family "Bacterial small subunit ribosomal RNA". The record is from RNAcentral. Lineage: Bacteria; Pseudomonadati; Pseudomonadota; Betaproteobacteria; Burkholderiales; Alcaligenaceae.